Long non-coding RNA from Homo sapiens (human), 582 nucleotides. RefSeq lists it as uncharacterized. The record is from RefSeq and is a predicted model, not a curated record. The transcript is spliced from 3 exons. Lineage: Eukaryota; Metazoa; Chordata; Mammalia; Primates; Hominidae.
AUAUCAUUGACUGACUUAAAUUCAACAGAACUGUGCUUUGGAGGACAUCGUUGCGCUGCUGACUUCUAACACUGAGAGAGAAGGGAGAUUGUGAAAGGUACAAGAGGCAGGGGAGCAGCCCACUGAGCUACCCCAGGAAUUUCCCUGACAAUCAGUUUUAAGGAGGACAUGCAGAAGUUGAAGAUGUGGAACACACAUCCCAUCUAAGGGGUGACAUCCUUCAGUUUGUGGACAGCUGGUCUAAUUCACUGGAGGAGGAACACAGCUCCCCUGGGGCCAUGCUCUGGCCACAGAACAGUGUGCAAGAGGUCAUUUAUGUUCAGGUGAUCCUGCCUUAUCCUGGAGAAAGAAAUGUUAUGCAAGAGGCCAAGAAGAAGCUAAACAAACAAGCCAUGAUGGAUUCCCAUCUCAGCUUAUUACCAUUGGGACAUGUCCUUUUUGUCCAAUCACAUUUCUACAUGGCAGUACAGUCUUCAUCAAACCUAAGCAUUAAAAAAAAAGUUUUCUCUGGGUCUUUGGGUCUUUUGUUUCGGAAGGCUCCUGUAUUACAUAAAACUUUGUUAAAUAAAUUUGUUAUACUUU